AAAGUGGAGCAAUCCAUGAGUAAAGUGGCGUACGGGUGAGUAACACGUGGAUCAUCUACCUUCUAGUGGGGAAUACCCCUGGGAAACUGGGGACAAUACCGCAUAAGCUCGUAAGAGGAAAGCAGCAAUGCGCUGGAAGAGGAGUCCGCGGCUGAUUAGCUAGUUGGCGGGGUAAUGGCCCACCAAGGCGAAGAUCGGUAGCCGGCCUGAGAGGGCACACGGCCACACUGGCACUGAAACACGGGCCAGACUCCUACGGGAGGCAGCAGUGGGGAAUCUUGCACAAUGGAGGAAACUCUGAUGCAGCGACGCCGCGUGAGCGAUGAAGCCCUUCGGGGUGUAAAGCUCUUUCGACGGGAACGAUAAUGACGGUACCCGAAGAAGAAGCUGCGGCUAACUACGUGCCAGCAGCCGCGGUAAUACGUAGGCAGCAAGCGUUGUUCGGAAUUACUGGGCGUAAAGAGUGUGUAGGCGGUGUUCUAAGUUUGUCGUGAAAUCUCCCGGCUUAACUGGGAGGGUGCGGCGAAAACUGGAAUGCUAGAGGAUGGGAGAGGUAAGCGGAAUUCCUGGUGUAGCGGUGAAAUGCGUAGAUAUCAGGAGGAACACCUGUGGUGUAGACAGCUUACUGGACCAUUUCUGACGCUGAGACACGAAAGCGUGGGUAGCAAACAGGAUUAGAUACCCUGGUAGUCCACGCCCUAAACGAUGCAUACUUGGUGUGAGCGAUUCAUUUCGUUCGUGCCGGAGCUAACGCGUUAAGUAUGCCGCCUGGGGAGUACGGUCGCAAGGCUGAAACUC
RNAcentral lists this ribosomal RNA (798 nucleotides) under uncultured Bacillota bacterium. RNAcentral's name for it is "bacterial SSU rRNA". It matches the Rfam family "Bacterial small subunit ribosomal RNA", at positions 71 to 902 of the family's 1533-position model. The record is from RNAcentral. Lineage: Bacteria; Bacillati; Bacillota.